Molecule: ribosomal RNA, 196 nt
Filed under: uncultured Desulfotomaculum sp.
Lineage: Bacteria; Bacillati; Bacillota; Clostridia; Eubacteriales; Desulfotomaculaceae
Description: partial 16S ribosomal RNA
Rfam family: Bacterial small subunit ribosomal RNA
Source: RNAcentral
UCAUCAUGCCCUUUAUGUCCUGGGCUACACACGUGCUACAAUGGCCUGUACAGAGGGAAGCGAAAGGGUGACCUGGAGCGAAUCCCAAAAAGCAGGUCUCAGUUCGGAUUGCAGGCUGCAACCCGCCUGCAUGAAGUCGGAAUCGCUAGUAAUCGCAGGUCAGCAUACUCGUGGUCGAAUACGGUUCCCGGGCCUU